AGUAACUGCGAGUGAAAGCGNCAAAAGCUCAAAUUUGAAAUCGGUGUCCAUCAAUCGCAUCGAGUUGUAAUUUGGAGGGACAACUUCGGGCUGAACCACAUCGUAAGUUCCUUGGAACAGGACGUCAUAGAGGGUGAGAAUCCCGUGUCUCGAUGUCGGGUCAAACCAUGUGAAGUGUCUCCGACGAGUCGAGUUGUUUGGGAAUGCAGCUCAAAAUGGGUGGUAAAUUUCAUCUAAAGCUAAAUAUUGGCGAGAGACCGAUAGCGCACAAGUGAGUUGAUCCGAAAAUGAAAAGCACUUUGAAAAGAGAGUCCNAAAAGUACGUGAAAUUGUUGAAAGGGAAACGCUUGCGACCAGACUCCGAUCCUUUGGUUGAUCCACCUUAUAGCAACCUUCAACAAUGUGCCAGUUGGGACCGAGGACCGCGCUUCGGCUAGGAUGCUGGUGUAACGGUCUUAAGCGACCCGUCUUGAAACACGGACCAAGGAGUCUAACAUCUAUGCGAGUGUUCGGGUGGAAAACCCUUGCGCGUAAUGAAAGUGAACGGAGGUGUGAACCCUUCGCGGGGUGCAACAUCGACCGGUCCUGAUGUNUUCGGAAGGAUCUGAGUAAGAGCAUAGCUGUUGGGACCCGAAAGAUGGUGAACUAUGCCUGAAUAGGGUGAAGCCAGAGGAAACUCUGGUGGAGGCUCGCAGCGGUUCUGACGUGCAAAUCGAUCGUCAAAUUUGGGUAUNGGNGCGAAA
RNAcentral lists this ribosomal RNA (743 nucleotides) under Pezizales sp. d334. RNAcentral's name for it is "eukaryotic LSU rRNA". It matches the Rfam family "Eukaryotic large subunit ribosomal RNA", at positions 82 to 928 of the family's 3401-position model. The record is from RNAcentral. Lineage: Eukaryota; Fungi; Ascomycota; Pezizomycetes; Pezizales.